Non-coding RNA from Phrynosoma platyrhinos (Desert horned lizard), 71 nucleotides. The record is from the annotation of a GenBank genome assembly. NCBI's taxonomy places the organism in Eukaryota, Metazoa, Chordata, Lepidosauria, Squamata, Phrynosomatidae.
GCCAGCAUGGCAUAGUGGGUUGAGUGUUGGACUAUAAUUCUAGUGACCAGGAUUCAAUUCCCAGCUUGGCC